Molecule: non-coding RNA, 124 nt
Organism: Gossypium raimondii (Peruvian cotton)
Lineage: Eukaryota; Viridiplantae; Streptophyta; Magnoliopsida; Malvales; Malvaceae
Source: Rfam
AAUAGGAGAAUGACAAAUUAAAUUUUUACUCUUGAUUUUGGCUUUUUACUCCUGAAAAAAAAUUCAAAUCUAACUAAAAAUGCUAAAAAUCAAGAGGAAAAAUCUAAUUUGUCAUUUUCAUAUU